This 253-nucleotide ribosomal RNA is filed under the name uncultured bacterium. RNAcentral's name for it is "partial 16S ribosomal RNA". It matches the Rfam family "Bacterial small subunit ribosomal RNA", at positions 524 to 776 of the family's 1533-position model. The record is from RNAcentral.
UACGGAGGGUGCAAGCGUUAUCCGGAUUCACUGGGUUUAAAGGGUGCGUAGGCGGACAGGUAAGUCCGUGGUGAAAUCCUGCAGCUUAACUGCAGAACUGCCAUGGAUACUAUCUAUCUUGAAUAUCGUGGAGGUUAGCGGAAUAUGUCAUGUAGCGGUGAAAUGCUUAGAGAUGACAUAGAACACCCAUUGCGAAGGCAGCUAACUACGCGAUAAUUGACGCUGAUGCACGAAAGCGUGGGGAUCAAACAGG